Molecule: non-coding RNA, 177 nt
Filed under: Clostridium cylindrosporum
Lineage: Bacteria; Bacillati; Bacillota; Clostridia; Eubacteriales; Clostridiaceae
Description: T-box sequence
Rfam family: T-box leader
About the family: Uncharged tRNA acts as the effector for transcription antitermination of genes in the T-box leader family.
Source: RNAcentral
AUAUUCACUUUGAGAGGAAAGAGUAGCUGAUAAUAUAAAUUUUAGCGAGCUGAUUAUGGUGGGAGUUCAGUAUUGUUUGUUAGUGAAGGGAGUCCUUGAGUGUAUACUUUAAGUGGAUUCUAAUCUAUUUAGAAUCAAAAAGGGUGGAACCGCGGAAGAUAACCUUUCGUCCCUUAG